AUGUGUAUCUGUACACCGUCGCAGGAAGUCUGCGCGUAUCACCAACGCCCUGAAAAGAACUUGUUUGUGCAGACGUGUGGAAUUCACGUAGAAGUAUAUACAUGGGAGGCCAUAUGCGUCUGCAAGCACGCGGCUGCGAGAGUGAUAACGAGACGCCACAUGCGUCCAUCGUCCAGUCACCGCGGCCCGUCAAAUUUUCUCCCCGCAAAGAUGGGCGCAACGUGGAAAAGUAUAGGCGCGCGAUGGACCGUGCAUCGUCACCGCGUUAUCCCCGCGCUGCACCCCGAGCAUGGCAGCUAUAAGUACCGGUGCAAACCAAGCAGCAGCUUCAUCACACAGGCCUCUUGCAAGCUCUCCUUGAGCUAUACAUUACACGAGCGAUCUGCUGUACGUGAGCUAGUGAGCAUGGCGCGGUUUGCUGCGCUCGCCGCGCUUCUGCUCGCCGUGGCGGUGGGCGGCGCCGCCGCGCAGGGCGGGUUCUACACGUACGACGCCUUCAUCGCCGCUGCCAACACCUUCCCGGGCUUCGGAACCACCGGCAGCGCGGACGAUGUCAAGCGCGAGCUCGCCGCCUUCUUCGGCCAGACCUCCCACGAGACCACCGGCGGGACGAGAGGCGCUGCCGACCAGUUCCAGUGGGGCUACUGCUUCAAGGAGGAGAUAAACAAGGCCACCUCUCCACCCUAA
This 687-nucleotide ribosomal RNA is filed under the name Triticum aestivum (bread wheat). RNAcentral describes it as "partial small subunit ribosomal RNA". Lineage: Eukaryota; Viridiplantae; Streptophyta; Magnoliopsida; Poales; Poaceae. The record is from RNAcentral.